Molecule: long non-coding RNA, 3028 nt
Organism: Hypanus sabinus (Atlantic stingray)
Lineage: Eukaryota; Metazoa; Chordata; Chondrichthyes; Myliobatiformes; Dasyatidae
Exons: 3
Source: RefSeq, a predicted model, not a curated record
CUGAAGUGGGUCGUGGCCCAGGUCGGAAGGUGAAGUCCUGCCCCGCAGGGUUGCAUUACAGACCCGGGUUUGUUUCCUGGCCCUGCCUGGGAGGCAGUUUUCUCCCCGCCACCGCGAAGCACAUCCGGCGACGUGGAACGACCCACAGGCUGCGGCAGGAGCUCACCGGGUCCGUGGCACAGAGGGAAUUGCCGAAGUUUCCGGGUGAAACCCCGCAACAGGACUGAGAGUGAAGAGAGGAGACAGCCGGCAUAAAGAAGGAAUGGCGACACAGGAGUUGAUUGCCAGACAGAGGAGGGGUAAAAGGCAGUAAUCAGUACAUCACAUCAUUCUACAUACGAGCAUCCAAACAAGCUCCUUUACAGCAUGGCACAGAAACUGCACUGCAGACAGCAGGAAGGGUCUACAACGAGCAGUCAAAACUGCUCAAUGAAUUACUGGCACCAGCCUAUCUACCAUCAAGGACGUAUAAAUGAAAGGUGCAGGAAAAGAGCCAGUAACGUGAUUGCCAUCAAUCUGGGCCAUUCAGGUCAAGUUCUCCUCUCUGCUGCCACCAGGAAGAAGGUACAGGAGCCUCAGGACCUGCACUACCAGGUUCAAGUACAGCUAUUACCUUUCAGCUAUCAUUCUAAGCCUGCACUGCUCCCUGUUACUAUUGAUGGUGAGGACGUAGAUGUGGUGAGGACCCACAAGUACCUGGAUGACAGACUUGAGUGGAACACCAACACAGAGGCUGUGUACAAGAAAGGUCAGAGUCUCUUCUACUUCCUGAGGAGACUGAGGUCCUUUGGAGUAUACAGGCCUCUCCUUCACAUGUUCUACCAGUCUGUUAUCGCCAGUACAAGCUUCUAUGCGGUGGUGUGCUGGGGCAAUGGCAUCAACUCGGGUGGUGCCAACAGAAAGGCUGGCUCUGUUAUAGGAAUCAAACUGGACACACUGGAGGCUGUGGUAGAACAAAGGACCCUGUGGAAAAUCCUGGCAAUUCUGGACAGUGUUUCUCACCCUCUGCAUGACACCUCAGCUGAACAGAGGAGCACUUUCAGUAAUAGACUAAGGCACUGCUUCAAAGAGCGCGAUGUGAGGUCAUUCUUACCCUCGGCCAUUAGGCUCUAUAAUGAGUCAACCUAUAGCCAGGGAAGUGAUGACCACUUCCUGUUAGACUGUUUGAGGUAACUUACUUUUUAUUCUUUCUACUUCUCUGCUAAUAUUCAUAUCCAUACACAUGUAAUGCUACGGUGACACUGUAAUUUCCUUUGGGAUCAGAAACAUAUCUAUCCAUCUCUAUCAGGCUCUUGAACCAAAGGGGGUAACUUCACACAACUUCAUUCAUCCCAUCACUAUUCCCAUAACCUAAAGACUCACUUUUAAAGACUCUUUAUCCCAUGUUCUUGAUAUUUAUUGCUUGUUUAUUUAAUAUUAUUAUUUAUUUUUCUUAUCUCAAGCUGGUAAAACCUGAGGCUCUGGCAUAACUUAAGCAAACUCAUUUGUUCAUUCCCAGGAACCUUUGGACUACUCUAGUGGUGUUUAGUAUUGUGGCUUCCUGAAGAUUUACAUCGAUAUUGCUAUGUAGCCCUAAUUAUUUAAUACUGGCAGGAUACUUGGAAGUGUGGAGGAGCAGAGGGAUCUGGGGGUACAUGUCCACAGAUCCCUGAAAGUUGCCUCACAGCUAGAUAGGGUAGUUAAGAAAGCUUAUGGAGUGUUAGCUUUCAUAAGUUGAGGGAUAGAGUUUAAGAGUUGUGAUGUAAUGAUGCAGCUCUAUAAAACUCUAGUUAGGCCACACUUGGAGUACUGUGUCCAGUUCUGGUCACCUCACUAUAGGAAGAUUGUGGAAGCGUUGGAAAGGGUACAGAGGAGAUUUACCAGGAUGCUGCCUGGUUUAGAGAGUAUGGAUUAUGAUCAGAGAUUAAGGGAGCUAGGGCUUUACUCUUUGGAGAGAAGAAGGAUGAGAGGAGACAUGAUAGAGGUGUACCAGAUAUUAAGAGGAAUAGAUAAAGUGGACAGCCAGGGCCUCUUCCCCAGGGCACCACUGCUCAGUACAAGAGGACAUGGCUUUAAGGUAAGGGGUGGAAAGUUUAAGGGGGAUAUUAGAGGAAGGUUUUAUACUCAGAGAAUGGUUGGUGUGUGGAAUGCACUGCCUGAGUCAGUGGUGGAGGCAGAUACACUAGUGAUAUUUAAGAGACUUCUAGACAGGUAUAUGGAGAAAUUUAAGGUGGGGGUUAUAUGGGGGUGCAGGGUUUAAGGGUCGGCACAACAUUGUGGGCCAAAGGGCCUGUACUGUGCUGUGUUGUUCUAUGUUCUAUUGUGGAGUGCCUUUAGGAUGACAGCAAUUGUAGAUGUUACUAUCGGGACAAUGGAUACCUUGUUCAUGUUCCAAAGUCUUUCAAUUUCCUCUUUUAAUUCAGCAUAUUUCUGGUGUUUUUCAGUUAUUGUAUUAUUAUUAUUUUUUUUUCCAUAGUUCAUUGUUUUUUGCACAUUGGUUGUUUGCUUGAGGCACGUCUUUCACUGAUUCUAUUUUGUUUCCUGUUUUUAUUAUGAAUGCCUGCAAGAAAAUGAAUCUCAGGAUUGUAUCUGGUGACCUAUAUGUAUGUACUUUAACAAUGAACUUAUUUUGGACUUUGAUGAACCUGCUCGUGGGCUGUUGUUUAUUUUAUUUUACCGAUACAGAGCCACCGAAGCACCUGUGGAAAUCUCCACGCGUUCCCCGAGGAGUGCGCACAAUGAGUCCCUACAGAAUGGUGCUGGAAUUGAACUCCAAAAUCCAGAAUACCUCAAGCUGUAAUAGCAUCGCACUAGCUGCUACAUAACCAUGGCACCCACUCCCACUCUCACCAGGGACAAGGCUACUUGGUGCUAUAGGGAUCUACCCCUUUGUUGCAAUGGUCAGAGAGACACAGAGACUAUCUCUAUUAACCAACAAGUAACCUUUAUUGUCUCAACUAAAAGGCACGUGGCUUCACAAACUAACUCCCUGUGUGCACACCCACUAGAAUUUCCUGACCCUUCAUGAACAGUCAAUAAAGAGAAAAGG